UUGUGCUAAGCACACCUUUAUAUAGGAUUUCUCUCCAGGAAUUCUGGCUUCUCUCCCAUACAGCAAUCACUAGUGGCAUCCCUAAUUGGCUGGCUGGAGCUUUACUGUGAAAGACUGCAAGCAAGGACUGAUAAGAAGCUGCAACAAACCCUUUCUACCUGGCCUGCUGCCCUUAUUAAGCCUCUGAGAGAGCCAAUAUCUUUUUCUCUCUCUCCUCGAAGACGUGGUUAAUGGUUUCAUUCUGCAAAGAAAUGUGACAUUGUUUUCUAUCAAUUCUGAGAAUGGCCAACUAAAACAAAAAUAUUGUUAAAAAUAAAUCAAAUGUCUAGUAUA
This is a long non-coding RNA of Podarcis raffonei (Aeolian wall lizard), 333 nucleotides long. RefSeq lists it as uncharacterized. Lineage: Eukaryota; Metazoa; Chordata; Lepidosauria; Squamata; Lacertidae. The record is from RefSeq and is a predicted model, not a curated record. The transcript is spliced from 2 exons.